This 165-nucleotide ribosomal RNA is filed under the name Digitaria insularis. RNAcentral describes it as "5.8S ribosomal RNA". It matches the Rfam family "5.8S ribosomal RNA". Rfam says of the family: 5.8S ribosomal RNA (5.8S rRNA) is a component of the large subunit of the eukaryotic ribosome. It is transcribed by RNA polymerase I as part of the 45S precursor that also contains 18S and 28S rRNA. Functionally, it is thought that 5.8S rRNA may be involved in ribosome translocation. The record is from RNAcentral. Lineage: Eukaryota; Viridiplantae; Streptophyta; Magnoliopsida; Poales; Poaceae. RNAcentral also lists the same sequence under 1 other name.
CACACGACUCUCGGCAACGGAUAUCUCGGCUCUCGCAUCGAUGAAGAACGUAGCAAAAUGCGAUACCUGGUGUGAAUUGCAGAAUCCCGCGAACCAUCGAGUUUUUGAACGCAAGUUGCGCCCGAGGCCUUUUGGUUGAGGGCACGCCUGCCUGGGCGUCACGCC